GUCAGUGUUGUGGAGUGGUUUGAGUAUCAGAUUAUGAUUCUGGAGACCAGAGUUCGAAUCCCAGCUCAGCCA
This is a non-coding RNA of Phrynosoma platyrhinos (Desert horned lizard), 72 nucleotides long. The record is from the annotation of a GenBank genome assembly. NCBI's taxonomy places the organism in Eukaryota, Metazoa, Chordata, Lepidosauria, Squamata, Phrynosomatidae.